AGUGCCAUAGUCACAGGCUUCCUUGAAUCUUUGAAACAAGCAUGUUGCCCAGACCACCCUCUCCUCCACGAGCAAUGACAAUUUGUUGACCUUCUUCUGUUAACUCAGCAACAUUAUUUCUUAACAUCUGUUUCUUCAUCUUGUGAUGAGGAGCAGCCAGUAGAAUGCAUUGCUUUGACUUCCCCACUAGUAACACCGGAGGUAGAACCAUUGCCAGGGUUAGGAAAAUCAUCAACAAGUGCUCCGGGAAUAUCCCAAGGGUCUACAUCUGUUGCGAAUUGAGUUUUGACAACAGAAGGAAUAUCACCAUUAACGAGAUGUACUACAGUGCCAAUCGGUACACGGGCAACCUAGCAUAUGAUUUUGGAAUGAACUUGCAGUUCUGUAUUGCAAACAUGGCCAAAUAAGAGAGAAGAAAACUAUGAAUUGUUUUAAAAGAAAAAGCACAGGUAAACAUCAAUUACCUUAUCAGCA
Glycine soja is the source of this 474-nucleotide long non-coding RNA. RefSeq lists it as uncharacterized. The record is from RefSeq and is a predicted model, not a curated record. Lineage: Eukaryota; Viridiplantae; Streptophyta; Magnoliopsida; Fabales; Fabaceae. The transcript has 2 exons.